RNAcentral lists this ribosomal RNA (250 nucleotides) under Brachyspira aalborgi. RNAcentral's name for it is "partial 16S ribosomal RNA". It matches the Rfam family "Bacterial small subunit ribosomal RNA", at positions 524 to 773 of the family's 1533-position model. The record is from RNAcentral. Lineage: Bacteria; Pseudomonadati; Spirochaetota; Spirochaetia; Brachyspirales; Brachyspiraceae.
UACGUAGGAGGCAAACGUUGCUCGGAUUUACUGGGCGUAAAGGGUGAGUAGGCGGAACUAUAAGUCUAAGGUGAAAUAUCGAAGCUCAACUUCGGAGACGCCUCGGAUACUGUGGUUCUUGGAUAUUGUAGGGGAUGAUGGAAUUCUCGGUGUAGCGGUGGAAUGUAUAGAUAUCGAGAAGAACACCUAUAGCGAAGGCAGUCAUCUGGGCAUUUAUCGACGCUGAAUCACGAAAGCUGGGGGAGCAAAC